GCACCCGCGGUAAUUCCAGCACCAAUAGCGUAUAUUAAUGCUGCUGCUGUUAAAAAGCUCGUAGUUGGAUCAAGAGUCGGACAGUGCACGGUGGCCCUCUUUGCCAUUUUGGGUCCUGCUCAAGUUGGCGGGAGCGGAAUCACCCCGUGCAUCAAACUGUCCGCUCUAGCAGGCCGAAACGGUUCCCUGUGAGUAGGCCCCUUCAUUGGGGUCGAAAGCGCCAAACGGGGCGUCCGCGGAAGUUACUGUGAACAAAACAGCGUGUCCAAAGCAGGCGAUUUGUCGUCUGAAUGAUCUAGCAUGGAAUGACAAGGGAUCGACCAUUGUGGUCUUCUUUUUGUUGGCCUCUGUGACCCAACCGGGCAAUUCAGGGCGUGAACUCCAGCAGGGAUCCUGCCCCAGUUCGCUUCGGCGUCUGGAGCAACCCUGUCUGGAUCGCGUCUCUAUCGGGAUCAAUAGGAGCUCACGGGGAGAUACGUAUUGUUGCGUUAGUGGUGAAAUACUUAGAUCGCAGCAAGACGAACUUCUGCGAAAGCAUUUCUCAAGAAUGUUUUCAUUAAUCAAGAACGAAAGUGCGGGGAUCGAAGAUGAUCAGAUACCGUCGUAGUCCGCCACUGUAAACGAUGCCGAUUCGGAAUUGCGAGUGCUCUCAUUAUAUGACUCUCGCAGCGCCACCCCUUUAACGAGAAAUCAAAAUUUUUGGGUUCAGGGGAGUACAAUCGCAAGGCUGAAACUUAAAGGAAUUGACGGAAUGACACCACAAGGCGUGGAGUAUGCGGCUUAAUUUGACCCAACACGGGGAACCUCACCAGGUCAGGACAAAAUAAGGAUUGACAGAUUGAGAGCUCUUUCUUGAUCUUUUGGAUGGUGGUGCAUGGCCGUUCCUGGUUGGUGGAUUGAUCUGUCUGGUUGAUUCCGUUAACGAACGAGAUCUCGACCCUUAAAUAGGUAUGCUCGUCGUUUCGAGUCUCACUCCGCUGGGCUCUCGGGAUGUUGGAUUGCUCAGACAGGGCAGCUACUUCUUAAGGGGACUGCGUGCGCCUAUAGUACGCGGAAGAGCGAGCCAAUAGCAGGUCUGUGAUGCUCCUAAAUGUCCUAGGCUGCACGCGCACUACACUGACGCAUUAAACGAGUCUGUUUGCCUUACGGCAACCUGUCUUGAAGAGGAUGGGAAACCUUUUGAACUUGCGUCGUGAUGAG
RNAcentral lists this ribosomal RNA (1200 nucleotides) under uncultured eukaryote. Its description in RNAcentral is "partial small subunit ribosomal RNA". It matches the Rfam family "Eukaryotic small subunit ribosomal RNA", at positions 570 to 1574 of the family's 1831-position model. The record is from RNAcentral.